RNAcentral lists this ribosomal RNA (693 nucleotides) under Triticum aestivum (bread wheat). RNAcentral's name for it is "partial small subunit ribosomal RNA". Lineage: Eukaryota; Viridiplantae; Streptophyta; Magnoliopsida; Poales; Poaceae. The record is from RNAcentral.
AUGGAGGCUAAGAAACUAUCGUUGAAUGACUCCCCAGAUAGAAUCUUGUGGGAUUUUGAUAAUAAAGGGAAGUUUACUACUAAAUCCGUAUAUGUAUGGUUGGAAAGAAAUCUUUCAGGUCCUAACUAUAGGAUGGUAUGGAAAGCACCUAUUCCGCUGAAAAUUAAGAUUUUCCUUUGGCAGCUGUUUCAGAACGCAGUUCUCACUCGUGAUAAUAUGCGCAUUAGAAACUGGCCUGGAAAUCCUGUGUGCUCCUUCUGUAAUGAAGUCGAGACAUCAAAUCAUUUGUUCUUUACCUGUUCGCUUGCUCGGUCGGUUUGGGGGGUGUUGGGCAUGACGGCCGGGGUUUCAUGUUGCCCUCGCUCUCUGUGGCAAAGCUUAACUUGGCUUUAUAAGUUCUUUCCGGAUGGGAAACAGUUUUACAUGAUGAUUAUUGCUGCAAUAUGCUGGGGGAUUUGGACCCUCCGCAAUAAAGUCACAUUUGAUAAUCAUAUUGUUCGUUCUCCUCUUGAGGCUGUUUUCACUGCAUGCUCGUUUUUGCUGUACUGGGCAGGUUUGCUAAAGGAAGAAGAAAGGGCGAAGCUCCAGGCUGGAGUGAAGAGGUUGGCUCACGCGGCUGCUGCGCUGGCGGACAGGUCCCUCCCUCGAGGCAGAUCCCUUUUGGGUGACAGAGAAGGGAUCCAGAUUGGUUAG